This 253-nucleotide ribosomal RNA is filed under the name uncultured bacterium. Its description in RNAcentral is "partial 16S ribosomal RNA". It matches the Rfam family "Bacterial small subunit ribosomal RNA", at positions 524 to 776 of the family's 1533-position model. The record is from RNAcentral.
UACGUAGGGGGCUAGCGUUGUCCGGAAUCAUUGGGCGUAAAGCGCGCGUAGGCGGCCCGAUAAGUCUGCUGUGAAAGUCCAGGGCUCAACCCUGGAAUGCCGGUGGAUACUGUCGGGCUAGAGUUCGGAAGAGGCAAGUGGAAUUCCUGGUGUAGCGGUGGAAUGCGCAGAUAUCAGGAGGAACACCUAUAGCGAAGGCAGCUUGCUGGGACGACACUGACGCUGAGGAGCGAAAGCGUGGGGAGCGAACAGG